GUGAUUGGUCUCCAAGUGGGAGCUGACAGUUUCUGAAUAGCUCCUGACACAAAGGACUAGGAACUUGGGCCUUUUUUGCAUUUCAAAGCCCUGCCUGCAGGCGAUCAGGUUACAGGAGGUGAAGAGGCAGUGUUGGUGUCUUUACCGACAUUUUCUCCUACUUGUGCUGUGUUUUCUCCACAAAGAUCUUCUGAGAAAGAAAUCUUGAAGAGGAGGUGAAAGAAAAAAUGGCCAGUUCUCAGGGACUGCUGACCUUCAGGGAUGUGGCUGUAGUAUUCUCUCUGGAGGAGUAGGGAUGCCUGAACCAGAGUCAGUGAGAACUGUACAGGGAUGUGAUGUUAGAGACCUAUGGACACCUCCUCUUCUUGGCAUCUAGGUCUUGUGACAAAGCUGGACCUGGUCCUCUUUUUAGAACUUAAAAAGGAGUUCUGGGAAUGGAAGAGAAAGGAGACAGUAGCUACACACCCAGGUAGGUGGGAAUGAACGAAGCAGAUGACAAAGGUGAGGUCCAAAUGUGAAGGAUGAAGACUGACCUUAAAACGUGGUUUGAGGAGCCCUCCUUGAAUUGAAAUUAGUUUUAAAAGGCCGAUUUCAUGUCUCUUCCUCUCACAGUGGACUUUUGCUUUCCAACACAUCAUGCUCUUACGUUCUCUAAGGAUUGUCCUUCAGUUCCACUGUAGGUCCUUCACGUCCACAGUGAGGGCCUCCGUAAUCUGAUUGAUUGGUUGUCCAAUGCUUUGAGGGUGGGGGAAAUCUCUGUAUUUCUCAGGAAGUCUAUGUUAAUACAUUUCUGAGUAUUUGCCUUGUGUGAGAAGUGUGUCAGGGUACUGAUGGACAUAUUGGGGGUUGGUGCAGAAAUCCCGGAAACAAUGGGGACAGAUAUCACAUGUUAUCUGUUUUCUGAUAUUAUGGAUGCUUUAAUCUUAAUCGUACUAAAUUGACACCCACUCAUUUCAUCAGAUAAUAAAGCACCUCCCUAAAAUGAGAAAAUCUAACCCUUUAUUUUACUUCAAAAGUUCAGUUUUGAGGGCGCAUGGUUGGAUCAAUUGGUUAAGCAUCUGACUUCAGCUGAAGUCAUGAUCUCACAGACAGUGAGUUUGGGGCCAGCGUAGGCCUCUGUGAUGACAGCACAGAGCAAGCUUGGAAUUCGG
Molecule: long non-coding RNA, 1151 nt
Organism: Leopardus geoffroyi (Geoffroy's cat)
Lineage: Eukaryota; Metazoa; Chordata; Mammalia; Carnivora; Felidae
Exons: 3
Source: RefSeq, a predicted model, not a curated record